UACAGAGGGUGCAAGCGUUAAUCGGAAUUACUGGGCGUAAAGCGUGCGUAGACGGUUAUUUAAGUCAGGUGUGAAAGCCCCGGGCUCAACCUGGGAAUUGCAUUUGAGACUGAAUAGCUAGGGUGCGGAAGAGGGAAGCGGAAUUUCCGGUGUAGCGGUGAAAUGCGUAGAUAUCUGGAGGAAUACCGGUGGCGAAGGCGGCAUCCUGGACCGACAUUGACGCUGAGGAGCGAAAGCUAGGGGAGCAAACGGG
This 253-nucleotide ribosomal RNA is filed under the name uncultured bacterium. RNAcentral's name for it is "partial 16S ribosomal RNA". It matches the Rfam family "Bacterial small subunit ribosomal RNA", at positions 524 to 776 of the family's 1533-position model. The record is from RNAcentral.